AUAAAUAAAUGUUUAUUUAUUAAAGUCCAGUUACAAUAAGCCCAAAACCCGCUUAACCCAGUAGCCCAUUUACAAUCAAAUACCCAAUACCCCUGAACUAGGCCAGUAACCCAAGACUUAGUAGGCCCAAUUGGCCCAACUUAUUUUCAGUUUGGGGAAACCCUAGCUAGGGUUUGCACCGCAACUCCCAAGCCAUACCAAGCGACAAAAGAACUUGCGCCGCAAUCAGACCAAGAGUCACACCCCUUCGACUCGUGUCCGUUCGUCUCGCAGCGACCUGAAUCAGUGCCGUGAUUCCCGGGCUUCGAACCAUGCCGUGGUCUACGGCCGAAUCAACGCCGGUGGUCUACUUUCCUUGAUUACCUGCAAAAGAAAGAAAGAAACAGCAGCAAACAAGCAAAACAAAUAUGGAAAGAAAUAAAAGAUUUCUUCCCAAAAUGUAAUAGAAAGAGUGGCUAUAAAAGCCUCCUUUGUAACCUGUAAACGAAGGGGGAGAUUUUUAACAAGGAAUACAAAAGCCAAAUACAUACAGUUUCUUAAAGGUGAUAUACCUUUACCUUUACCUUUUCAUUUUUUUUUCUUCUCUAAAUACAUGCAAGUACCAUUAAAAUAAAUAAAAAGCGAAUUUACCUUUGAAAUUGCUUCAAAAAAUCGAGACUUUGGGCUUCUGACUGCCAUACGGGGCGAGGUCGGCGACGGUGCGUGGGCGCGUGAUUCUGAUGACCGGGGCUCGGCUCGACGGAGGUCGGAGCCCGGAGGACUGCUCUCUACUCUCUUUUGGAGAGCUUUUCAAAGUUUUUUUUAAAAACUAAUAACU
RNAcentral lists this long non-coding RNA (817 nucleotides) under Gossypium barbadense (sea-island cotton). Its description in RNAcentral is "long non-coding RNA (GBAR_LNC004635)". The record is from RNAcentral. Lineage: Eukaryota; Viridiplantae; Streptophyta; Magnoliopsida; Malvales; Malvaceae.